CCUACGGGAGGCAGCAGUGGGGAAUAUUGGGCAAUGGGCGCAAGCCUGACCCAGCAACGCCGCGUGAAGGAAGAAGGCUUUCGGGUUGUAAACUUCUUUUCUGAGGGACGAAGAAAGUGAUGGUACCUCAGGAAUAAGCCACGGUGAACUACGCGCCAGCAGCCGCGGUAAUCCGUGGGCGGCAAGCGUUCUCCGGUUUUGUUGGGUGUAAAGGGGGUGUAGGCGGGAAAGCAAGUCAGAUGUGAAAACCCAGGGCUCAACCCUGAGCCUGCCUUUGAAACUGUUUUGCUUGAGUGCUGGAGAGGCAAGCGGAAUUCCGUGUGUAGCGGUGAAAUGCGUAGAUAUACGGAGGAACACCAGUGGCGAAGGCGGAUUGCUGGACAGUAACUGACGCUGAGGCGCGAAAGCGUGGGGAGCAAACAGGAUUAGAUACCCUAGUAGUC
Molecule: ribosomal RNA, 443 nt
Filed under: uncultured bacterium
Lineage: Bacteria
Description: partial 16S ribosomal RNA
Rfam family: Bacterial small subunit ribosomal RNA
Source: RNAcentral